This is a non-coding RNA of Potamilus streckersoni, 75 nucleotides long. NCBI's taxonomy places the organism in Eukaryota, Metazoa, Mollusca, Bivalvia, Unionida, Unionidae. The record is from the annotation of a GenBank genome assembly.
GCUACGGUGAAUUAGUGGUUAGAGCAUCUGCCUCGGAUGCGAGAGGUCUUUGGUUCGAUCCCCAGUCGAAUAAUA